GGGAAUCUACCCUGAACUGCGGAAUAGCUCCGGGAAACUGGAAUUAAUACCGCAUGUGCCCUGAGGGGCAAAGAUUUAUCGGUUCAGGAUGAGCCCGCGUCGGAUUAGCUAGUUGGUGGGGUAAUGGCCUACCAAGGCGACGAUCCGUAGCUGGUCUAAGAGGAUGAUCAGCCACAUUGGGACUGAGACACGGCCCAAACUCCUACGGGAGGCAGCAGUGGGGAAUAUUGGACAAUGGGCGCAAGCCUGAUCCAGCCAUGCCGCGUGAGUGAUGAAGGCCCUAGGGUUGUAAAGCUCUUUCGGUGGGGACGAUAAUGACGGUACCCACAGAAGAAGCCCCGGCUAACUUCGUGCCAGCAGCCGCGGUAAUACGAAGGGGGCUAGCGUUGUUCGGAAUUACUGGGCGUAAAGCGCACGUAGGCGGAUAUUUAAGUCAGGGGUGAAAUCCCGGGGCUCAACCCCGGAACUGCCUUUGAUACUGGAUGUCUUGAGUCCGGAAGAGGUGAGUGGAAUUGCGAGU
Molecule: ribosomal RNA, 520 nt
Filed under: uncultured bacterium
Lineage: Bacteria
Description: bacterial SSU rRNA
Rfam family: Bacterial small subunit ribosomal RNA
Source: RNAcentral